CCUCUUAGUUCUUUGAAAAGAGAUUUCUUUUUCCUAUUCCCUUCUUCGUAUCCCUCUCACUACCAAGUAAAGCUAAUGUCAGAUUCGAAAACGACGUCGAAACUUCUCAGACGAAGGCUCCGGCCAAGGACCCCAAAAAGAAGGACGAGAAAGAGGAGGAUCAGGUGAGUUGUCAUUUAAUUUUUUCUUUGUUCAUCCAGAUGCUUUUGAACUUGCAUGCACCAAACCUUGGAAAGUACAAACCACAAGAAGCUCUUCGAACAAAUUCGAAGCAACCAAGGUUUGUUUCCAAGACGCCAAUGAUGAGGAAGUUGCCACCGAUAGCUCGAAACUCGACGAUUCAAUUGUCGCCGUUGAUAAAGCUAUCGAAGAUGUCUCCAUGGGAGAAUCUGAAGUCUCUUUUGUUGAUUGCGACGGCGAUGAUGAUAAAGCCUGUGCUGAUUGUUACUUUGAUUCGUACUCUCAUUUCGGGCUGAGCUUAUUAAGAAGGCCAAAUGUAUGCACUUUCCUGAGGAGGUAAUACAAUAUUCCUGCAAUUGAACUACUUAUAUGCAAAUGCUACAGAUGGUAUUCAAUCUGGUUCCCUAGAAAAUCUGCAAAUGGAUGACUCAAUUGUUGUUGGCUAUGGACUACCUACACUCAAACCGUGUUCUUCAUAGGGAUAUGAAGUAAAAGAUUUCAAAAGGGUUGAAAAGAGUGAAAAAAGAGGGAGAGAGAAUUGAAUGGGCUGAAAAUGGACAGAGAAGUAGAGAAAGGGUUACCAAAAUAGAAAAUGGCAGCAGAAAGGCGGCAUUUAGUGAGUGAUGAAAAGAGAGUGAAAAUGAAGGUCCCUACACAUUCCACUGUGAAGUCUGCAGUUAAGAACUACGACCAACCGAAAACUACUACACCUCUAUUGCUCCAGCCCCUGCAUCUGACACACAGAUUUCCAGCAAGAAUGUUACAGAAAAUGGGAAUAAUCAAAUUAUAAAAGCUGAGGGUCCCUCUAUAUGCGUCAUAGGUCUGCCCUUCAAUGCUACACCUAGUAUGCUGGAGAAUGAGUUUAAGAAGUUUGCACCUAUUAAGAGUGGUGGUAUUCAAGUUCGAAGUCAGAAGGGGUUCUGUUUUGGUUUUGUAGAAUUUGAAAUGGCAAGUUCUGUGCAAACUGCUAUAGAGAGCUGAAUACAAUAUAGACGGUGAUAUGUUGGAUAGAGAGUUGAUGUUAAAAGGAAAAUGAUAUUAAAGAAAGAAUAUAGAGGUAUAGUUUUAAGAUAAUGAAUAUUAUGUUUAAACAAUAUUUACUUUAUUAUUAUGCAGUCUGCAGCAUUGCGCGGUUCUGCAAACUAGCGAGAAGAAAAUUAGGGAUAUUAUGAUCAAAAGGUCCAGUGUAGUGGCUCACUGGUUCUUUUUCCUUGAAUUUAAAAUUAUUGGCUUUGUAUUUGGACAUUGCAUUGAUUGUUAACCAAAUGACCUCAAACGGUGCAAUUGCACCAAAAAGUUGUUAAACCGCAUUGUAUCCAGGUAGUGUUUAAAUCUAAAUGAAACCUAAGCGUUUUCCUACAA
Durio zibethinus is the source of this 1542-nucleotide non-coding RNA. Lineage: Eukaryota; Viridiplantae; Streptophyta; Magnoliopsida; Malvales; Malvaceae. The record is from RefSeq and is a predicted model, not a curated record.